AAAAGAUCCAUGCCAACGAAAAAAUUGUAUGAACUUGACCCAACGUUGGCACAAGAACACUCUCAGAGAAGAAAAAUAAAGGAAGGAAACAUACUCUUUUUGGCAAGUCGUUAACACUAGGAAAGAUGAAAAGACACUUAGAAAGCCCUUUAUACCUUCCUCGAGUAUAAAGGAACAUAUGAUCACCCCAUACUAUUGUCAAUUAUGAUUAAGGGUUAGGCCUCAGGCCAUAAAAAUAGUUUUUUAAUCCUAUUGGGUUGACCUGUUUAAA
Molecule: long non-coding RNA, 271 nt
Filed under: Lathyrus oleraceus (garden pea)
Lineage: Eukaryota; Viridiplantae; Streptophyta; Magnoliopsida; Fabales; Fabaceae
Description: Pisum sativum (pea) long non-coding RNA (PSAT_LNC005899)
Source: RNAcentral